Molecule: ribosomal RNA, 249 nt
Filed under: uncultured bacterium
Lineage: Bacteria
Description: partial 16S ribosomal RNA
Rfam family: Bacterial small subunit ribosomal RNA
Source: RNAcentral
CCUACGGGGGGCAGCAGUAGGGAAUUUUCGUCAAUGGGCGCAAGCCUGAACGAGCAAUGCCGCGUGAACGAGGAAGGUCUUCGGAUCGUAAAGUUCUGUUGAAGGGGAAAAAGAGCGGAGAGAGGAGAUGGCCUCCGAUUGAUAUUACCCUUCGAGGAAGUGACGGCUACGUACGUGCCAGCAGCCGCGGUAAUACGUAGGUGGCGAUCGCUAUCCGUAAUGAUUGGACGGAAAGGGUGCGUAGGCGGC